UUCUUCUCUAAUUUCUCUUUAUUUUUUCUAUUCUUACAUUGCAGGUUCCCAAGUUAUCCUCCAGGGGAGAUCAAGUACAAUGCAUGAAGAAGACAUGAUAUGCAUGUGAACCAGCUCAAGUAAAUAAAUUUCUCAUCGAAUCGGCACAAUACAUGCUCUUCAUCUUGGUGUUUGGUGGCCUGAAAGUUCAUCAUAUUGUCAUUACCAGCAGUGUAGUUGUAGCUCAACCUCAAUUUUUGAUUCCUGAAUAGCAUCGUAGUAGUUGUAGUAGCUCUAAUCUUUUUAUUUGGUCAGUACAACUAUGGAGGCAAGCAGGCAAUCACAUGUAUGGUAGUAGUUUUGAAACUUUGUUAAUGCUUAGAAUUUAGAUAGGUGAAAUACGUUUAUAUA
Molecule: long non-coding RNA, 390 nt
Organism: Panicum virgatum (switchgrass)
Lineage: Eukaryota; Viridiplantae; Streptophyta; Magnoliopsida; Poales; Poaceae
Exons: 2
Source: RefSeq, a predicted model, not a curated record